GCCCUCAUAGCUCAAUGGAUAGAGCAUCUCACUCCUAACGAGAAGAUCUUGGUUCGAUUCCAGGUGAGGGCA
This 72-nucleotide transfer RNA is filed under the name Parcubacteria bacterium C7867-008. Its description in RNAcentral is "tRNA-Arg". It matches the Rfam family "tRNA". From Rfam's summary of the family: Transfer RNA (tRNA) molecules are approximately 80 nucleotides in length. Their secondary structure includes four short double-helical elements and three loops (D, anti-codon, and T loops). Further hydrogen bonds mediate the characteristic L-shaped molecular structure. tRNAs have two regions of fundamental functional importance: the anti-codon, which is responsible for specific mRNA codon recognition, and the 3' end, to which the tRNAs corresponding amino acid is attached (by aminoacyl-tRNA synthetases). tRNAs cope with the degeneracy of the genetic code in two manners: having more than one tRNA (with a specific anti-codon) for a particular amino acid; and 'wobble' base-pairing, i.e. permitting non-standard base-pairing at the 3rd anti-codon position. The record is from RNAcentral. Lineage: Bacteria; Candidatus Parcubacteria.